AUGGUGAAACCGCGAAUGGCUCAUUAAAUCAGCUAUGGUUCCUUAGAUCUUACAUCCAUACUUGGAUAACUGUAGUAAUUCUAGAGCUAAUACAUGCCAUAAAUCCCUGACUUUAUAGGAAGGGUGGAUUUAUUAGAACAAAACCAACCGGCUUCGGCCGUUGGCUUGAUGACUCUGGAUAACUUUUCUGAUCGCACGGCCAAGCGCCAGCGACGUAUCUUUCAAAUGUCUGCCCUAUCAACUAUCGAUGGUAGGUGAUAUGCCUACCAUGGUGAUGACGGGUAACGGGGAAUCAGGGUUCGAUUCCGGAGAGGGAGCCUUAGAAAUGGCUACCACAUCUAAGGAAGGCAGCAGGCGCGCAAAUUACCCACUCUCAGCUCGAGGAGGUAGUGACGAAAAAUAACGAUAUAAGACUCAUUAGAGGCCUUAUAAUUGGAAUGAGUACAAUUUAAAUCCUUUAACGAGGAACAAUUGGAGGGCAAGUCUGGUGCCAGCAGCCGCGGUAACUCCAGCUCCAAUAGCGUAUAU
This 528-nucleotide ribosomal RNA is filed under the name Gyratrix cf. hermaphroditus 214386099. RNAcentral's name for it is "SSU rRNA". It matches the Rfam family "Eukaryotic small subunit ribosomal RNA", at positions 78 to 604 of the family's 1831-position model. Lineage: Eukaryota; Metazoa; Platyhelminthes; Rhabdocoela; Polycystididae. The record is from RNAcentral.